Long non-coding RNA from Hemibagrus wyckioides, 1810 nucleotides. RefSeq lists it as uncharacterized. NCBI's taxonomy places the organism in Eukaryota, Metazoa, Chordata, Actinopteri, Siluriformes, Bagridae. The record is from RefSeq and is a predicted model, not a curated record. The transcript has 3 exons.
AGCAAGCAUGAUUUACUUAAGCUUGUCAGGAGAGCAAAAUCUCAAGGCAAAUGUGGAGUAAUAAAUUGUAAUACAUGCUGCAUAUGUUUGACUCGUGACCCCUGGCAUUUGGAGGGAACUCUCAGCUCACGAAUUCCACUGACAAGAAAUGGCAAGAGAGAGGAAAUGUACAGUAUGAAGCGAAAAGAGGAUAACAGGCUGAAUGAGGGAUAGAGAAAAAGAAAGAGACCGAGGGCUGUAUUCAGAGGUGGUGACCAAAAGUCCAAAAGUUAUAAAGAUGUUUAUCUGGAUGAGAGCUGGAGCUGGUGUAGAGAGCACACAUAACACUGAGGUUAUGAUUUAAUCACUGGACAAGGAUCAGAGCAGAUGUUUGGAGAGGAGAGGGUCGUGGCGUAUGCUAACGGGGUUUUGAGGAGAAUGAGGAUGACACUCUGGACUGAUGGCUAGGGCGUGGGUUGCCAGUGUGAGUGUGAUCCACCCUACAGCGCAGCUCCAGCGGCCGCCCUGGACCCCUGCUAUCCGGGUCCCCAUAAAAAUAGCCCAUUCCAUUACUCUUCUCCUCCCCAGAGGCAGCAAGGUCUCCAGCAUCAUUACCGGGACUAAAGAUGUGACUCGGGCUGUUCACGCCAGCCUGGCCGCCCCUCCCCAAAGCCAUCCCGCUAAUUAUAGGUCAAGCACUCUUUGUUAAAUUAUAAAACCCUUGUUCUUAUUCUAAAUGAAAAAAUAUGAUACAAUAGGAAGAGAGGAGAGAAAAGGGGCACAGAAAAAAUAUGUAUAUUUUAAAAAUUGGGAAUGGGAAAAAAAAAAUUUCAAUUAUAAACCUCGGCUAAUUUGGUAUGACCAGCGAGUGUCAUGCAUGCUGACAGUGCUCCAUUAUGCAGUCAUUUGGGCUCUUUCAAAUUAGUUAUGUUAAUGUCCUGCGCAGGAAUGUAACACUUGGAUGGGACAAGAUUCCAGCAAUUAAUUUCUACAGUCAGCCAAGAGACAAGCAAAUUUAUUUUCCGCCCUCUCGGGAAAUCGGUGGCGGCGGGCGUGAGGGUGGGGGAGAGCACAUCAGGGUGCGGCGAACAAGCACAACACUGCGCCUAAAUAAAGCCCAAACAAUGGGCGCCAAUGCCUCCUCAUUCAUUCCAUUGACAAUGUUUUGCAGCUUAAACCUGUUUUAUUAAUUAUGUUUGACAUUUCCUUAAUUAGUUUCAUUUACACCAAAUCAAUCCCUGCCGCCACCCAGCCUCAUUUAUCAUUUUAAAAAAUUUGCAUAGCCUGUGCUGACUUUUUCUACUUAAUUAUACAUUAAAAGUGUCAAGCGCGCUUGCUGCCUGGCAUUAUCUGCCGAAAGGGCCGGGGCUGGGCGGUGCUGGCAUUAAUCACGGCCAGCCCGCGAGUGUUUGCUGGACGCUGGCUGGGAGGAAAGACGAAAGCCUGAGCUCGAGUUCGAGAACCUGCAUACGACAGGGUCAACAACACACCCAUGAAGAAAUGAAUCGGUGAUCUCUAUCCGAAAAACAAUCAAGAGAACUAGACACAAUGUAUUACACAUUAAAAACAUGGAAUAGUCUCCCAAAAAACCAACAUGGUUAAUAAUCUAGUAAUAAGGGAUUAGUGUUAAUUAAUAACAAAAACCAUGAGUAUCUUAAUUAACAUCAAGUGUGAGUAAUAAGCAGAGGAAAUAAUUGCAUAAUUUUCAUCAACUUAUCCUAUACGAAAGUCUGUCUUGUUUUAUUUGAUUACUACACUGUAAAAUGGUACUUGCUUUAUAUAUGGAACCUCAUAUAUGGUACUUUAUGUAGAAUGGCUCUUUUUUAAAACC